RNAcentral lists this ribosomal RNA (1700 nucleotides) under Escherichia coli. Its description in RNAcentral is "partial 23S ribosomal RNA". It matches the Rfam family "Bacterial large subunit ribosomal RNA", at positions 1259 to 2925 of the family's 2925-position model. Lineage: Bacteria; Pseudomonadati; Pseudomonadota; Gammaproteobacteria; Enterobacterales; Enterobacteriaceae. The record is from RNAcentral.
GCCUGUGAGGGUUGCUGGAGGUAUCAGAAGUGCGAAUGCUGACAUAAGUAACGAUAAAGCGGGUGAAAAGCCCGCUCGCCGGAAGACCAAGGGUUCCUGUCCAACGUUAAUCGGGGCAGGGUGAGUCGACCCCUAAGGCGAGGCCGAAAGGCGUAGUCGAUGGGAAACAGGUUAAUAUUCCUGUACUUGGUGUUACUGCGAAGGGGGGACGGAGAAGGCUAUGUUGGCCGGGCGACGGUUGUCCCGGUUUAAGCGUGUAGGCUGGUUUUCCAGGCAAAUCCGGAAAACCAAGGCUGAGGCGUGAUGACGAGGCACUACGGUGCUGAAGCGACAAAUGCCCUGCUUCCAGGAAAAGCCUCUAAGCAUCAGGUAACAUCAAAUCGUACCCCAAACCGACACAGGUGGUCAGGUAGAGAAUACCAAGGCGCUUGAGAGAACUCGGGUGAAGGAACUAGGCAAAAUGGUGCCGUAACUUCGGGAGAAGGCACGCUGAUAUGUAGGUGAAGCGACUUGCUCGUGGAGCUGAAAUCAGUCGAAGAUACCAGCUGGCUGCAACUGUUUAUUAAAAACACAGCACUGUGCAAACACGAAAGUGGACGUAUACGGUGUGACGCCUGCCCGGUGCCGGAAGGUUAAUUGAUGGGGUUAGCGGUAACGCGAAGCUCUUGAUCGAAGCCCCGGUAAACGGCGGCCGUAACUAUAACGGUCCUAAGGUAGCGAAAUUCCUUGUCGGGUAAGUUCCGACCUGCACGAAUGGCGUAAUGAUGGCCAGGCUGUCUCCACCCGAGACUCAGUGAAAUUGAACUCGCUGUGAAGAUGCAGUGUACCCGCGGCAAGACGGAAAGACCCCGUGAACCUUUACUAUAGCUUGACACUGAACAUUGAGCCUUGAUGUGUAGGAUAGGUGGGAGGCUUUGAAGUGUGGACGCCAGUCUGCAUGGAGCCGACCUUGAAAUACCACCCUUUAAUGUUUGAUGUUCUAACGUUGGCCCGUAAUCCGGGUUGCGGACAGUGUCUGGUGGGUAGUUUGACUGGGGCGGUCUCCUCCUAAAGAGUAACGGAGGAGCACGAAGGUUGGCUAAUCCUGGUCGGACAUCAGGAGGUUAGUGCAAUGGCAUAAGCCAGCUUGACUGCGAGCGUGACGGCGCGAGCAGGUGCGAAAGCAGGUCAUAGUGAUCCGGUGGUUCUGAAUGGAAGGGCCAUCGCUCAACGGAUAAAAGGUACUCCGGGGAUAACAGGCUGAUACCGCCCAAGAGUUCAUAUCGACGGCGGUGUUUGGCACCUCGAUGUCGGCUCAUCACAUCCUGGGGCUGAAGUAGGUCCCAAGGGUAUGGCUGUUCGCCAUUUAAAGUGGUACGCGAGCUGGGUUUAGAACGUCGUGAGACAGUUCGGUCCCUAUCUGCCGUGGGCGCUGGAGAACUGAGGGGGGCUGCUCCUAGUACGAGAGGACCGGAGUGGACGCAUCACUGGUGUUCGGGUUGUCAUGCCAAUGGCACUGCCCGGUAGCUAAAUGCGGAAGAGAUAAGUGCUGAAAGCAUCUAAGCACGAAACUUGCCCCGAGAUGAGUUCUCCCUGACUCCUUGAGAGUCCUGAAGGAACGUUGAAGACGACGACGUUGAUAGGCCGGGUGUGUAAGCGCAGCGAUGCGUUGAGCUAACCGGUACUAAUGAACCGUGAGGCUUAACCUUACAACGCCGAAG